This is a long non-coding RNA of Lagopus muta (rock ptarmigan), 1309 nucleotides long. RefSeq lists it as uncharacterized. Lineage: Eukaryota; Metazoa; Chordata; Aves; Galliformes; Phasianidae. The transcript has 5 exons. The record is from RefSeq and is a predicted model, not a curated record.
CUGGCUGGAUCUUUUCUUGCAGAGAAAGGGAUUCUCUGCUGUAUGCCCUGACUGGGAGGUAUUUCUUUUUGCAGAUCUUGAAUAGGUCUCCUGUCUCCAGCAUGGUCUUAGCAAAGCGUGAUGCUCUCAGGGCCUCCUGCUCCAGAGGCAGACUGUUCAGCACUGCUGGUCAGUGCAGUAAGAUCAAAAGCUCAAGGAUGAAGAAUAAGAGCUGAUGUCAAGCAAACAGCUGGUCCUCCAGCAUCUCGUCAUCCUGCCUCCUGCCAAAGCUCAUGUCAACGUGUUCUGCUCUGAAAGCUGCAUUGUGGUUUUGUUUGACAAGGAGUACAGAAGCAUGCUGAGUACUUCAUGAAGGAAAUAACUGAAAAGAGGAGGAGGAGGGGCAGAUUAAAAAUGAAAUGUGCACUGUUACCUGUGUGGCAGCAACUUAGAGCAGGUGGGCCCUUCUAACUUUGGAUGCUGUGUAUGGCCCAGCAGCCAUAUUGGGUGGAGCUGUGUGAAGACAUGGGAAUGCACAGAACUCCUCAUCUCCUGCUGCCGCUGCUUCAGGCACGUUUCCAGCCACAGACAGAAAAGACCAAGCUCACUGCACCAAGCAAACGAGAAGAAAAAGAUUAAUAGCAUCACUCUCCAGGAAAAACUUCAUCUUCCUGUCCUCAUCUUGCCCUAUGGAGCAUGUUAUCAACUCAAGAAACUCCCAAUAGGAGAGAAAGCGAGUUCACACCCAGCUCUCUGCAGCCCCAGGCUGGAAGAUAGCUCUGCUCAGAGAAUCACUGAAAAGGCAGCAGAAAUAAAUUUCCCUCCAUGAGCUUUUCACAGCACAAAAGCUGUGCUUAAACAUGCUAGGAAGUGGCGUUUUGCAAAAAAAAAAACACGUUCAUUUUAAUAUCAGAUUGUUUAAAAAUCGCUCUGAAUGCUUUCUUAUUUAGCUUGUAAGAAUAAAGAGAGAGGGGCAAGAUGGGACACCCCAAAAUCAUUUUCCAUAGGCACAUCUCGUCUAUUUUCUGGAUUUUGAAAGCUGGAAAUUUUUGAAUCUUGUUUCCUUUUUUCAUGCUGUGGCCUCACCUGUGCAGUGAGGGCUGAUCUGCCCCACUGCAGAAUGGCUCUGCUCUGGUGCUUUGGGUUUGAAUCCAAGUUUCCAGAGAGGGAAAUGGUAGCAAUAGGGCAGACAAGGCUCACAAUGUUGUCCUCUAAACAAUCAAGCUCUCCCUCUGUUUGCGAACAUGCCAAAAUAUUACAGAUGCUGCAGAUGUAACAUAAAUGCACUUACUGCGGUAUUUUUUUUUCCUGAGUCCUAUUAGAAAAAAGA